AAUUUCAACCCUUGUUCAUUCGUUAAUUAUUGACACAUCCGAUUAUUAAACUCCCUGAAGAAAUUAGCUACUAAUGGUUGAAAUACAACAAUUCCUAAACUCAUAUUUAACAUGCAAAAAAAAUAAAAAAUAAAAUUAAGGAGUAUAAAAAUAAAAAUGUUUUCGAUUAUCGAUUGAAACUCGAAAGCGAAAUCUCCUUUAAAAGUUGCAAAGAUCUCCUCGAUUCCAAUUGAAAUCAACACCAAAA
Molecule: long non-coding RNA, 247 nt
Filed under: Gossypium raimondii (Peruvian cotton)
Lineage: Eukaryota; Viridiplantae; Streptophyta; Magnoliopsida; Malvales; Malvaceae
Description: long non-coding RNA (GRAI_LNC002126)
Source: RNAcentral